This 337-nucleotide ribosomal RNA is filed under the name uncultured eukaryote. Its description in RNAcentral is "SSU rRNA". It matches the Rfam family "Eukaryotic small subunit ribosomal RNA", at positions 601 to 945 of the family's 1831-position model. The record is from RNAcentral.
AUAGAAUUAUUGCUGCGGUUAAAAAGCUCGUAGUUGGAUCUGUGCCAUAGGACGUGGUCCACCUUCGGGUGCGUACUACGCUCCUAGGCUUUUUGCUGGUUUUCCCGUCGUAGCCUUCACUGGUUGCGGCGGGUGGCUGGCGAGUUUACUUUGAGAAAAUCAGAGUGCUCAAUACAGGCGUAUCGCUUGAAUGAUUGUGCAUGGAAUAAUAGAAAAGGAUUUCGGUCCUCUUUUAUUGGUUUUGUGGACUGAGAUAAUGGUUAACAGGGACAAACGGGGGCAUUCGUAUUGCUGCGUGAGAGGUGAAAUUCUUGGACCGCAGCAGGACGGACUACAG